UACGGAGGGUGCGAGCGUUGUCCGGAAUCAUUGGGCGUAAAGGGCGCGUAGGUGGCCUGCUAAGCGUGCGGUGAAAGUCGGGGGCUCAACCCCCGAUCGGCCGUGCGAACUGGGAGGCUUGAGCACUGUAGAGGCAGGCGGAAUUCCGGGUGUAGCGGUGGAAUGCGUAGAGAUCCGGAAGAACACCGGUGGCGAAGGCAGCCCCCUGGGCUGACACUGACGCUCAGGCACGAAAGCGUGGGGAGCAAACAGG
RNAcentral lists this ribosomal RNA (253 nucleotides) under uncultured bacterium. Its description in RNAcentral is "partial 16S ribosomal RNA". It matches the Rfam family "Bacterial small subunit ribosomal RNA", at positions 524 to 776 of the family's 1533-position model. The record is from RNAcentral.